Non-coding RNA from Potamilus streckersoni, 77 nucleotides. The record is from the annotation of a GenBank genome assembly. Lineage: Eukaryota; Metazoa; Mollusca; Bivalvia; Unionida; Unionidae.
GACCUCUCUGGUGGCCUAGUGGUUAGAGCGUCCGUCUUGGAUGCGGUAAGUCGUGGGUUCGAUCCACGCCCGAGUCA